GCCUAAUACAUGCAAGUCGAACGCUUCUUUUUCCACCGGAGCUUGCUCCACCGGAAAAAGAGGAGUGGCGAACGGGUGAGUAACACGUGGGUAACCUGCCCAUCAGAAGGGGAUAACACUUGGAAACAGGUGCUAAUACCGUAUAACAAUCGAAACCGCAUGGUUUUGAUUUGAAAGGCGCUUUCGGGUGUCGCUGAUGGAUGGACCCGCGGUGCAUUAGCUAGUUGGUGAGGUAACGGCUCACCAAGGCCACGAUGCAUAGCCGACCUGAGAGGGUGAUCGGCCACAUUGGGACUGAGACACGGCCCAAACUCCUACGGGAGGCAGCAGUAGGGAAUCUUCGGCAAUGGACGAAAGUCUGACCGAGCAACGCCGCGUGAGUGAAGAAGGUUUUCGGAUCGUAAAACUCUGUUGUUAGAGAAGAACAAGGAUGAGAGUAACUGUUCAUCCCUUGACGGUAUCUAACCAGAAAGCCACGGCUAACUACGUGCCAGCAGCCGCGGUAAUACGUAGGUGGCAAGCGUUGUCCGGAUUUAUUGGGCGUAAAGCGAGCGCAGGCGGUUUCUUAAGUCUGAUGUGAAAGCCCCCGGCUCAACCGGGGAGGGUCAUUGGAAACUGGGAGACUUGAGUGCAGAAGAGGAGAGUGGAAUUCCAUGUGUAGCGGUGAAAUGCGUAGAUAUAUGGAGGAACACCAGUGGCGAAGGCGGCUCUCUGGGUCUGUAACUGACGCUGAGGCUCGAAAGCGUGGGGAGCAAACAGGAUUAGAUACCCUGGGUAGUCCACGCCGUAAACGAUGAGUGCUAAGUGUUGGAGGGUUUCCGCCCUUCAGUGCUGCAGCUAACGCAUUAAGCACUCCGCCUGGGGAGUACGACCGCAAGGUUGAAACUCAAAGGAAUUGACGGGGGCCCGCACAAGCGGUGGAGCAUGUGGUUUAAUUCGAA
RNAcentral lists this ribosomal RNA (941 nucleotides) under Enterococcus hirae. RNAcentral describes it as "bacterial SSU rRNA". It matches the Rfam family "Bacterial small subunit ribosomal RNA", at positions 46 to 955 of the family's 1533-position model. Lineage: Bacteria; Bacillati; Bacillota; Bacilli; Lactobacillales; Enterococcaceae. The record is from RNAcentral.